Molecule: ribosomal RNA, 604 nt
Filed under: Lankesterella sp. (in: apicomplexans)
Lineage: Eukaryota; Apicomplexa; Conoidasida; Eucoccidiorida; Lankesterellidae
Description: SSU rRNA
Rfam family: Eukaryotic small subunit ribosomal RNA
Source: RNAcentral
UUCAGCUUUCGACGGUAGGGUAUUGGCCUACCGUGGCAGUGACGGGUAACGGGGAAUUAGGGUUCGAUUCCGGAGAGGGAGCCUGAGAAACGGCUACCACAUCUAAGGAAGGCAGCAGGCGCGCAAAUUACCCAAUGAAAACAGUUUCGAGGUAGUGACGAGAAAUAACAAUACAGGGCAUUUUAUGCUUUGUAAUUGGAAUGAUGGGAAUGUAAAACCCUCUCAGAGUAACAAUUGGAGGGCAAGUCUGGUGCCAGCAGCCGCGGUAAUUCCAGCUCCAAUAGUGUAUAUUAGAGUUGUUGCAGUUAAAAAGCUCGUAGUUGGAUUUCUGUUGUGAUUGUCCGGUAUCGCCUGUAUUGGUGUUUACCUUGGAUGAAUCAUGGCAUACUUCUGGUAUCCCAUGAAUGCUUAAUUGCGUUGGUGGGUUUUCCGGAACUUUUACUUUGAGAAAAAUAGAGUGUUUCAAGCAGGCUUGUAGCCUUGAAUACUGCAGCAUGGAAUAAUAAGAUAGGACCUUGGUUCUAUUUUGUUGGCUUCUAGGACUAAGGUAAUGAUUAAUAGGGACAGUUGGGGGCAUUCGUAUUUAACUGUCAGAGGUGAUUUC